UGGGGAGUACGGCCGCAAGGCUAAAACUCAAAGGAAUUGACGGGGGCCCGCACAAGCGGCGGAGCAUGCGGAUUAAUUCGAUGCAACGCGAAGAACCUUACCAAGGCUUGACAUAUACCGGAAAAGUUCAGAAAUGUGCUCCCCGCAAGGUCGGUAUACAGGUGGUGCAUGGUUGUCGUCAGCUCGUGUCGUGAGAUGUUGGGUUAAGUCCCGCAACGAGCGCAACCCUCGUUCUAUGUUGCCAGCACGUUAUGGUGGGAACUCAUAGGAGACUGCCGGGGUCAACUCGGAGGAAGGUGGGGAUGACGUCAAAUCAUCAUGCCCCUUAUGUCUUGGGCUUCACGCAUGCUACAAUGGCCGAUACAAAGGGCUGCAAUACCGUGAGGUGGAGCGAAUCCCAAAAAGUCGGUCUCAGUUCGGAUUGAGGUCUGCAACUCGACCUCAUGAAGUCGGAGUCGCUAGUAAUCGCAGAUCAGCAACGCUGCGGUGAAUACGUUCCCGGGCCUUGUACACACCGCCCGUCAAGUCAUGAAAGUCGGUAACACCCGAAGCCAGUGGCCUAACCCGUAAGGGGAGGAGCUGUCGAAGGUGGGAUUGGUGAUUA
This 604-nucleotide ribosomal RNA is filed under the name Microbacteriaceae bacterium RM12EL_23C. RNAcentral's name for it is "bacterial SSU rRNA". It matches the Rfam family "Bacterial small subunit ribosomal RNA", at positions 874 to 1477 of the family's 1533-position model. Lineage: Bacteria; Bacillati; Actinomycetota; Actinomycetes; Micrococcales; Microbacteriaceae. The record is from RNAcentral.